This 251-nucleotide unclassified non-coding RNA is filed under the name uncultured fungus. RNAcentral's name for it is "partial contains small subunit ribosomal RNA, internal transcribed spacer 1, and 5.8S ribosomal RNA". The stretch from base 1 to 73 matches the Rfam family "Eukaryotic small subunit ribosomal RNA", at positions 1759 to 1831 of the family's 1831-position model. Lineage: Eukaryota; Fungi. The record is from RNAcentral.
UCAAACUUGGUCAUUUAGAGGAAGUAAAAGUCGUAACAAGGUUUCCGUAGGUGAACCUGCGGAAGGAUCAUUUGAGAUUGCACCUUUGGUGCACCUCAUCUUCACACCUGUGCACUGUGUCGGGCUGCGGUCCAUCUGGGCCAAAGCCUGUUUUUAUACCCACUCAUAUGUUUUUGUGAAAGUAUCAUUGAAUAAAAAAUACAACUUUCAACAAUGGAUCUCUUGGCUCUCGCAUCGAUGAAGAACGCAGC